GCGCUUGUGGCGGAAUCGGUAGACGCUGCAGACUUAAAAUCUGUUGGGAUUUAUCCCGUGCCAGUUCAAGUCUGGCCUAGCGCACCA
This 87-nucleotide transfer RNA is filed under the name Alphaproteobacteria bacterium. Its description in RNAcentral is "tRNA-Leu". It matches the Rfam family "tRNA". From Rfam's summary of the family: Transfer RNA (tRNA) molecules are approximately 80 nucleotides in length. Lineage: Bacteria; Pseudomonadati; Pseudomonadota; Alphaproteobacteria. The record is from RNAcentral. RNAcentral also lists the same sequence under 1 other name.